CAGUCGCCGCGGGAAUACGAAGGGUGCAAGCGUUACUCGGAAUUACUGGGCGUAAAGCGUGCGUAGGCGGUGGUUUAAGUCCGUUGUGAAAGCCCUGGGCUCAACCUGGGAAUUGCAGUGGAUACUGGGUCACUAGAGUGUGGUAGAGGAUAGUGGAAUUUCCGGUGUAGCGGCGAAAUGCGUAGAGAUCUGGAGGAAUACCGGUGGCGAAGGCGGCCAUCUGGGACAACACUGACGCUGAGGCACGAAAGCGUGGGGAGCAAACAGGAUUAGAUACCCCCGUAGUCCCUGUCUCUUAUAC
RNAcentral lists this ribosomal RNA (301 nucleotides) under uncultured bacterium. RNAcentral describes it as "partial 16S ribosomal RNA". It matches the Rfam family "Bacterial small subunit ribosomal RNA", at positions 509 to 807 of the family's 1533-position model. The record is from RNAcentral.